This 269-nucleotide ribosomal RNA is filed under the name uncultured prokaryote. Its description in RNAcentral is "partial 16S ribosomal RNA". It matches the Rfam family "Bacterial small subunit ribosomal RNA", at positions 524 to 792 of the family's 1533-position model. The record is from RNAcentral.
AACGUAGGACGCGAGCGUUAUCCGGAUUUACUGGGCGUAAAGCGUGUGCAGGCGGUGGGGUAAGUCGGACGUGAAAGCUCCCGGCUCAACUGGGAGAGGCCGUUCGAAACUACUCGACUUGAGGGCAGGAGAGGAGCGUGGAAUUCCGGGUGUAGUGGUGAAAUGCGUAGAUAUCCGGAGGAACACCAGUGGCGAAGGCGGCGCUCUGGACUGCACCUGACGCUAAGACACGAAAGCUAGGGGAGCGAACGGGAUUAGAUACCCCAGUA